Molecule: long non-coding RNA, 1119 nt
Filed under: Triticum aestivum (bread wheat)
Lineage: Eukaryota; Viridiplantae; Streptophyta; Magnoliopsida; Poales; Poaceae
Description: long non-coding RNA (TAES_LNC023204)
Source: RNAcentral
GGUCACAUGUCAAGGACUUCCUCUUGGACGAUGCCGCCUCCUUGGCUGUUGUUGUCGUCUCCUCAAAUAAGUCGUAUCAGGUUAGUUCCAUUGCACUGCAAAUACUACCAGUUCUAUUGGGCAAGCAAAUACAACUUGAAAGUAUAAGUCGUAUCAGGUUAGUUCCAUUGUACGCCAGUGUCGUCUGGCACGCGAAGUCAAUUUCUUACAUCGCCCAUUGUUGUCAUCUGCUACUCUAACCAGUAACCAUCCCUUGCUCCCAAUAAUUUUGAGCUCGCAAAUAUGGCAUUGGUUGCUUGAUUAGCAUUAUGUCUUUCAAGGACAAAACUAAUUGUCGAUUCUUUUUGGAUACAGCAGAUGGAUUUUGGAUGCAGACCAAUGUGGUUUCUUCAUAGUACUAGGGAGCCGACAAUAAAAAACAUGAGAAUUCAUCACCUAUCUUAGCCACCGCAACCUGAACAAGAUUUGCCAACAUCUAUCUUAAUCCUUUUGAAUGGUUGGUAGCAGAUCUGUCCUACAAGCAGAAAUCAUCUACUUUGUGUUUGAAUUUUCUAAAUUACGGUAAAACAUGUGCAUACUUCAGUUUGCACAAAGAGCAAACCUAGACAAUCUGUUGUAGGGUCUGAGCUACUGAAUAUACAUGUAGUAAAAAAUACUUUUCCUUUGGUCCUCUUUCAUGUUCAAGUUCCUAACGAAGCUGCCAUAUAGCACAUUUAGGCUCUGGUCAACAAGUCAGCGGACAAGUUGCAAAUUCAAUCAACAAUGAAGGAACAUAGAAAACUGAACCCACUGUUCAUGAUCUUUAAGGAAGAAAACACACAAGAUUCGUUAUUCAAUCUUAUCAAUGACCAUGUGUAAUCUAGGCUAUUUUGUUAUCAAUAGCUAAAAGUUGUUCACAAGCCUUAGGUGUUUUGAUGUUUCUUGAAUAUGGAGCUGCAGGUAGAGCUGAGGAUUAAGGAUUAAGUAUAAACGCAAUGGAGCCCGUUGUAUAACAACGCAGAGCCAAAGAAGAUGCUAUUUUAUUGUUGCCUUAUCUUUGUCGAUGCAGUCGAAUAUGGGUCUAUUCUGGUGCCCUGUCUUCAUGGUAGCGUGUGUAUGUAACAAGGGGGCGGCCGUGAG